UCUUUCUCCAGCAGCGCAAUGUGAUCCACCGGCAAGGAGGGACACCAAUAAGGUGUCCGAUAAGAUAAGUCUUAUAAAAUAUAUAGAUUUAUGAUCAUUGAGACUGAACUAACAGAUGUGGAUCCUAGUCAUUGGCCAAGCAGCAUUUGAACCUAAUACAAGUCUCUCUGUGCAUUAUUUGGGUCCUAACUUGGGCGGGCAGCUGGCGUAGAGUGCACACGUGGUGGUGGGGCUCCGAGGCUUUGGCAGAAAGAUUUAUCGUAACCCCUGCUUGCUUUAGACACCUUGUCUAUCCUCAUUCAACUGUUUUCUCAACCCCUAUACAGCUGAGGGCUAUUUAAGACCUUUGCUCUACCCUGCCUGGCCCUUACAUCUUAAUUGUCAAAAUAAAAAAUACAUAUUGCCGGUGUCUGUGGCUCAGUUGGAUGUUGAGGUAUACUGCUAACUGGAAGAUCAAUGGCUUGGCCUGUGAUUGUAGCUUAGUUUGUAGAGUGCUUGCCCUGUAUGCAUAAACCCAGGGUCCAUCCCCAGCACCACAUAAACUGGGUAAUACAUGCCCAUAAUCUGAGCACUUUGGCAGUGGAGACAGGAGGAUCAGAAGUUUGUGAUGGACCUCAGCUACAUAAUAAAUUCAAGGCCAGCCUGGGCUACAUGAGACACUGUCAAACAAACCGUCUGAGUUUCUGGGCAGAACAGUGGUUGUUCCGUGACAAUGGUUCUGUCUUUUGUAUCUUGGAGAGCUGGUUGUACAAAGGUGGAAGAAAUGUGAUUGGAACAUCCCACAGCUAAAGUAUUUUUAAUGAAACUAUUUGUAAAUGGCUCAGAUGGCUUCAUGGACUAUUCUCCUUUCUCCUUUGGAGCGAGGUGUUCUUCUGAGACCAUCUAGUAUACAGCCAUGGUCUCACCACUGCGCCAGCCUCAAAGCCGCUACCACCAUUGCUGUCUGCUUACCUCUCCCGUGAUCCUUCUGGCUUCACAUCUCUCCAGUGAUUGCUGCUGCCUUCUUGCCACUCUCUCUCUCCAACUAGAGAACAGGAUCCACGCAGACAGUGACUGGUGUCUGUUUUGUUCCUGGCUGCAUGCCCAGGCCAACAAGAGCACCCACACAGUACUGACCCUCGUGCAGGCCUGUUAAGUGAAUGAAUUAAUGAAUGAUUACUCCACAUGGAAUUAGCAGUUGGAUCACAAGAGUCUUCUCAGCACACACAAGCAUUGCCCAUCACGCCUGUCAUGACAUGCAGAGCCUUGCCUUUCUGAAGAACAACACAGGCAGAUCUCCAAGUCCUUGG
RNAcentral lists this long non-coding RNA (1289 nucleotides) under Cricetulus griseus (Chinese hamster). Its description in RNAcentral is "lncRNA (ENSCGRG00015034449.1)". The record is from RNAcentral. Lineage: Eukaryota; Metazoa; Chordata; Mammalia; Rodentia; Cricetidae.